This 703-nucleotide ribosomal RNA is filed under the name uncultured Burkholderia sp. Its description in RNAcentral is "bacterial SSU rRNA". It matches the Rfam family "Bacterial small subunit ribosomal RNA", at positions 60 to 756 of the family's 1533-position model. Lineage: Bacteria; Pseudomonadati; Pseudomonadota; Betaproteobacteria; Burkholderiales; Burkholderiaceae. The record is from RNAcentral.
AGUCGAACGGCAGCACGGGUGCUUGCACCUGGUGGCGAGUGGCGAACGGGUGAGUAAUACAUCGGAACAUGUCCAGUAGUGGGGGAUAGCCCGGCGAAAGCCGGAUUAAUACCGCAUACGAUCUUUGGAUGAAAGCGGGGGAUCGCAAGACCUCGCGCUAUUGGGGUGGCCGAUGGCGGAUUAGCUAGUUGGUGGGGUAAAGGCUCACCAAGGCGACGAUCCGUAGCUGGUCUGAGAGGACGACCAGCCACACUGGGACUGAGACACGGCCCAGACUCCUACGGGAGGCAGCAGUGGGGAAUUUUGGACAAUGGGCGAAAGCCUGAUCCAGCAAUGCCGCGUGUGUGAAGAAGGCCUUCGGGUUGUAAAGCACUUUUGUCCGGAAAGAAAUCCUUUUCGAUAAUACCGGAAGGGGAUGACGGUACCGGAAGAAUAAGCACCGGCUAACUACGUGCCAGCAGCCGCGGUAAUACGUAGGGUGCGAGCGUUAAUCGGAAUUACUGGGCGUAAAGCGUGCGCAGGCGGUGAUGUAAGACCGAUGUGAAAUCCCCGGGCUUAACCUGGGAACUGCAUUGGUGACUGCAUCGCUGGAGUAUGGCAGAGGGGGGUAGAAUUCCACGUGUAGCAGUGAAAUGCGUAGAGAUGUGGAGGAAUACCGAUAGCGAAGGCAGCCCCCUGGGCCAAUACUGACGCUCAUGCACGA